GGCGACAGGAAGUGGGCAAUCCACCUGGUCUUGGUGAAGACAAUAAUUUUGAAGGGACAGUUAGUACAUUUCCAAUCAUCAAGUCAUUUAAUGGACGAAGCUGGUCCCUUUCUUUAUGGAUAGAAAGAACAACAACAACAAAAACAAACCUAGGCAUCUAAUUGUUUUUUUCUUUUUUUGGAAAGCGGGGUGAGAGGGACUCCCAAGAAAACCCCUGGGGAGGCAGCGAGUGGGGUGAGUGGAAAGGAGAUCGGAGGGGUGCAGAGGGCGGAGGUGAGAGGUGGACUCCGGGAGGCCGAGAGCGGCACAGGCUGGGGACCGAGGGCGAGCGGCAGGCUCUCCUGCGCCCCAGCGGGACAGCGCGGCGCCCGCCGCUGCUCCCCGGGACCUCGGUGGCUGGGCAGGGCCGCGGGCUGCGGCGGGCGCUGCCUUCCAACGUGCCCGGGGACGUCCCCGGUGCCAGCCGAUGAGGCAGCGGAGGACGGCUUCCCGGAUAAUCGCCCCAACUUACCAGGCGCGGAGUCCGCGGCUGCAAAAGGACGGGCGGGCGCCGGGGCCAGCGAGGGCCCGGCCUCCAGGUGCCCGGCGCGCACAGCUACUGCCACUUGGAGCGGUGCCAGCCUCAUUUGAAUCCCAGCCUUUGUGAAUAACUCAAGUGUCGCCACCGUUGCUCCAGCAAUCGUAGGGCGUCUGGGCUCACACCACCCUGCCUCGCCCCAGGGAGCCCAAGGGGGCUGCCUCCCUCCCCGCAGCCUCCAAGCUUCGCAGGGCGGUGGGGAGGCUGCCCUGGCUGAACCUUCUAGAAGGCCUGCCCCCACCCCGCAGCCGGAAAAAAAAAAAAUUGACAAACUGGAGAUGUCAGAGUGGAAGGAAGGGACCCGGUCUGGCUUUCAGCCUACGCUGUCCCCUUUCUACCUGGGGAUCUAUCUGGAGCCCUGGCUGUGUGCAGAGGCGACUCUGGUGUGCACGCGCAUCUUCUCCCUUCAUCAGGAGACAAUUAAAUGGGUUUGGUUUAAACGUCUGCUAGGUGUGUCCUCCCGCUGGGGGGCCUCGCUUCCUCACUCAGGCCUUCUAUUAGACGUUUUGGUAGAGCGCCUCCUGUGCUGCAGGUCCUGUGCUGGGCACGCAAAGAGCCCAGAGGGAGGGGGAGACGUUGUAGCAACGCAGACAGCCAGCCUCUGCCUCGAGGUGCAACUUGUCUACUCGAGGAACGAGGAACGGGUGCAAACAGAUGGGACAGAUGCAAAUUUCACCUUCACACACACUCGGGUAUGCAAAACGGUAAGUCCUCCGUUUGUCCACACCCAAACUUCUGUCUCCGCCCCCAUUAUGCUCAAGAUAGGAAAAUCAAUCUAAUCAUCUCCAAAUAAAUUCAACUGGGUGAAUUUUUCUUUGCUUCAGAUUUACAAUAAGUCAAAUGAGUGCUUUUUCUCAAGUCACUCUCCUCCCUAGGAUUGACAGUCAGCUCUGAUGCUCAAACACCAGACAUUGUGCUCAUUGUGUGGAAUGCUUUCUUUAGGAGAGAGUGUGAUUUGCUGUUGCUUUACUAUUUGGGCCUUGUUGAAGCAGAGGAGGAUGAUAUUUAAGACCAACUGGGCAGCCGAGUUAAAUGCCCCUCAGAGGAAGAGGCCUGCUCCAAACCACAAGUUUUGAUCUCUUAGGUUCUAUCCAGUGAGAGCCGACAAGGGGUCUGUGGCAGGCGUAGUACAGGUUAAAAUUUCCCAUGGACAGAGAAAGUUCCAGGUAGAAAUGAGGUCUGGGUGGACAGAGGACUUGGCGUUAUACACCUGAGUUUGUGUGACCAUGAACUUUGCAUUUCUGUUGCCUCCCCCACAAAAUGUGUGCCUCAGACAGGAAUCUUGUGCACAUUCCUGUUGGCGAGGCGUAGUGCUUUGUCUGCUGAGCCCCACUUCUGCUCCAACAGCUGGAGAGGACUCCCUUCUCCCCUACAAGUACUCCUCCAGGAAUAGGAACAGGAGUGUAGAGGGGUGAAAAGAGUCAUCUGUGUGGAAAUUCUGGAUCCUCCAGAGGCCUGUGAGAAGAAAUGCUCUUCUUCUUGCCACCUUUUGUACUUUGAUGCAGUUAUAGGAGAGAACCAUUAUGUGAGGAGGUUUAAAAAAAAAAACAUUGACAAACUGGAGAUGUCAGAGUGGAAGGAAGGGCAAAAAGUUUCUUGAUGGAACUGAUUUGGCAAACGGACUCUGGGACUGUCUGUCUUAGACAAAUCAAGGAUCUUCAUGGUUUGAACCACCUUUAGUAAAGUAUUUUAUUAUUAUUCCAACUGAAACCGCAUCUGGGGGAUUUGACAGUUGUCUCCCGGUCGUCAGUGGUGUUUGAAAAAGAGAGAAGUUGUGGAGAUGCAAGUCUGAUGCAAGAUUAAGAAGUAAAUGGGAAAAUUCUGUUUCUGGCAAUAUGGAGGACCAAAUAUGGAGGACCAGAUAGUCUCAGAGAAAUUCUGGAAAAUGUAACAACAUUCUUGUAAGUGCAUAACUGAGCUCAUUUAGAAAGAAGAAAAAACAGUCAGAGCUAAUCUACCUUGGGGACUGCUGUCACUAGGAACAUGGUAGCCUUGGUAGAAUGGGCUGUAACUCCAACCAGAUAUAAAACUUAAAUAAAGUCUUGUAUUGAGAGCCGAACCUUCCAUGGCUACUUAAGAACCUUGAAGCUGUAUAUCCUUGGUGAAAAGGUGUGUGUCAUAGCUAAUUUUAUGCUCCAACUUGAGCUCCCAUGGGGUGCCCAGAUUAAACAUUAUCUCAA
Long non-coding RNA from Ictidomys tridecemlineatus (thirteen-lined ground squirrel), 2757 nucleotides. RefSeq lists it as uncharacterized. Lineage: Eukaryota; Metazoa; Chordata; Mammalia; Rodentia; Sciuridae. The record is from RefSeq and is a predicted model, not a curated record.